GAUGAACGCUAGCGGGAGGCUUAAUACAUGCAAGUCGAGCGGCAAGGUCUUCGGACCCUAGAGCGGCGCACGGGUGAGUAACGCGUACGCAAUCUGCCCUUCAGUGAGGAAUAGCCCUGGGAAACUGGGAUUAAUACCUCAUAAUAUUAGAGUAUCGCAUGGUACUUUAAUUAAAGUUCUGGCGCUGAAGGAUGAGCGUGCGUCUGAUUAGCUAGUUGGUAGGGUAACGGCCUACCAAGGCUACGAUCAGUAGGGGGCGUGAGAGCGUGACCCCCCACACGGGUACGUGAGACACGGAUCCGACUCCUACGGGAGGGCAGCAGUAAGGAAUAUUGGGCGAAUGGAGGCAACUCUGACCCACGCCAUCCCGCCGUGAAGGAUUAAGG
Molecule: ribosomal RNA, 386 nt
Filed under: uncultured bacterium
Lineage: Bacteria
Description: bacterial SSU rRNA
Rfam family: Bacterial small subunit ribosomal RNA
Source: RNAcentral